Molecule: non-coding RNA, 761 nt
Organism: Choloepus didactylus (southern two-toed sloth)
Lineage: Eukaryota; Metazoa; Chordata; Mammalia; Pilosa; Megalonychidae
Source: the annotation of a RefSeq genome assembly
CUGGAGAUGGGGCCUGAGUGCACCAGAUGGUGAGCAAGAUGGUGUCACAGUCCCAACUCCUCAUCUUCCUGGUGCUCUGGGUCUCAGGUGCCAGUGGGGACAUCGUGAUGACCCAGUCUCCAGUCUCUGUGGCUGGGUCUCCAGGAGAGACCAUCACCAUGAGCUGUAAGUCCAGCCAGGGUGUUAGCAAUGAUGUAGGCUGGUACCAGCAGAAACCUGGACAGGCUCCUAAAUCACUCAUAUAUGAUGCAUCCACCCGGUUCUCUGGGGUCCCUGACCGGUUCAGUGGCAGUUAUUCAGGAACAGAGUUCACUCUCACCAUCAGGAGUUUCCAGCCUGAGGAUGUGGCAAGUUAUUACUGUAUGCAAGGAAACAGCAAUCCGCCCACAGUCACUUAUGGUGGAGGGGCGCGGGUAGAAAUUGAAAGUGCCAGUGGGGACAUCACACUGACCCAGUCUCCAGACUCUGUGGUUACGUCUCCAGGAGAGACUAUCACCAUCAGGUGCAAGUCCAGCCAGAGUGUUAGCAGCUACUUACACUGGUACCAGCAGAAACCUGGACAGGCUCCUAAACUGUUCAUCUAUGGUGAAUCCACCCAGGCAUCUGGGGUCCCUGACUGAUUCACUGGCAGUGGGUCUGGGACAGAUUUCACUCUCACCAUCAGCAGUUUCCAGCCUGAAGAUUAUUACUGUCAGCAAAGUAGCAGUGCACCUCACACAGUGCUUCAGCCUCAAACAAAAACCUCCUCCCCAGGGCUGUAG